AAACUGUGGCUGCACGCUGUGCUGCCCAAACGCGUGCUUGUCUGCAUUCCACCAGUGUCACAGAGGAGAAACCUGCCCACACCGCACAAGGACAAAGCCGCGUUACUUACUGAGUGCUUCCCCCGGUUCCCUGUGCAUUAAAAAAAAGGCUGUAUCCUGUAAAAUGUACCAUCCAGCUCAUUUACGGUUUUGGAUGGAUCACUCAGGUACCGCAGGGUUAAACAGCUCAACCGCAGCCAACAGCUUUACGCAUGGCUUCCUCGUGCGUGCGGUCUUUGUGCCGGCGUCCUGGUCACAUCGCGUUGAGGCAUGGACUACCAAGACCACAGGCAACACACAGACACCGCGCAGAUCAAUUUGUAUGUGCUACAUCUUUGCUGUGAAAUAAGAGGGGUUUGCGCUUAAAAUGGCAAGUGCAUGCUUUCUGGUUACGUUGGAUUGGAGGAUGAGGUGCUUAACCUCCCUCCUGCCAGUUCUGCAUGGUCAUGACCUGUCAUCACGCCCCUUCCACAUCCCACCUCGUCCUAUUGGUCCUGCUCCUUGUCACUCCGCCCCUGGCUGGGACCGCCCCUGCGUGGGUCGAGGGAGGGGCAGAAGGGGGCACCCGGACAGACCUGAGAGAGGACAACCUCGGCCCCUUUCUCUCGCCCCCGCCUCUGACCCUCUCCGGCCCUGACAACGGUUCGUUAGACCAGGGCCCGGGUCAAGACGACCAAUCAGAUAAAGGGAUGGACCCUAUGCAGGUGCUCGCUGUGCUGUUGGAGGCUCUGGACCACCCAGAGGAGGGAAAAAUCUAUGCCAGUAGAGACAGAGUUUUGGAAGAGGAUGAGAGUCAGAAACUGCCCUCCAUUGAAGGCGUCGCGGGUGGUGAGAAAAGAAGAACGGGGGAGACAGAGGGACAGAGGGGGGUGGAGGAAGAGGGGCGAGGGGCUGAUAAGGCAAUUGAACAGCUAAUUGUAGGCCAUUUGACAGCUGCUCAGGGGGAUGGCUCAAAAGAAAGGGAUGAGGAAGAUAAGACCACAAGGUCAGAGGAGAAUCAAGGGUGGUCUGGGAGGGAUGUGCGAGGCGAUAGCGUGAACAAGGAGGAGGAGGAGGAAGAUGAGGAGCAGAAGGACGGUCAUAGUUUGGAAAGUUUCCUAAAGAACGCCAGGCCAAGGACCCCCUCACUGGGAGAUGAUCCAUCUCUGCGGCGCAAAAUAAGAGGCUACUUCCAAAACAUUGACUUGGGUCUCCAAGAUAAUGAGAUCCUGCCUCCUCUGAAGGGCUACAAGGCAUACAACACUCAGCUCGCGCGAGCCGGAAAGAAGCUGCACUGGGAGGGGAACCAGGACCGCAACCGACCCUCCGACGGCGGCGGCGGCGCCGGCAACUUCAUGGAUGAGUUUGAGGAUGAAGGAGAGGAGCUGCAGGAGGAGAUUGAGGAAGAAGAGGAGAGCCUCUCCCACAUGCAAGAAGAGGCGAGAGCGCGAGCAGAGAAACAGGAGGUUCUUCGCCAGCAGGAGGAGGCGGAGCGUGCCAGAGAGGAGGAGCAGAGGCUGGCAGACAUCGCCUCCGACAUGCUGCUGCAGUACAUGGGGAGGAAGCAGCAGUCCUACAUGAAACCCCGGCAGAAAAGCAGCCUGGGCCCCGCCAGCAACACCGCCGAGGACAAGCGCUCCGAGGAGGUCGUCGCCGACGAAGACGACGUCGACCAGCAGAUGAUCGACAGGCUGAUCGAGAUCAGCAGCAAGCUGCACCUGCCCGCCGAUGACGUGAUCGAGAUUAUCAACGACGUGGAGGAGAAGAAGAAGAAAAGGAAAGAGCUGCAACAAUUACCGAUCAACAGCAACCCUGUUGCCCCGCGCUUCAGGCCUCUGGUACCUCCUCCUCUGGCUGCUCCACCCAUGUACCACUACACCGCCUCGAAAAACCCCAAGAAAGCCCCUUAUAGGUACAACAAGUCCAACAAGAAAUGGCACAAGGACAAGGUCUUGUCCUAUAAGAAGGACUAUUGGUAUAAGCCUCAGAAGCAGCUUGACUACUGGUAUAAACCCCAGAAACAGUUUUUAGCCUUCCCCUCCUACCCAUACUACCAGAAGCCAUAUCGAGCAUACUACCCGGUUUAUUUCCCAUAUCCCAAAGCACAAUAUUAUGGCAAACCCUCUCCCUCCAUAGAACAGCCGUUCGGCCCCCAGGAACUCGACUUCCAGCCCCCGAGGCGCAGGCACAGGGCCGGGGGUAAGAACCGCGGACAGGGCUGGAGGCAGCAGCCGGCGCCUCGCCUGCCGCUCAGCCCUUAUAUCUCUAACUACAUCCUUCCCCACCCACGGACCUACCAACCCCUGCCCCCGCCCAAACCAAUAACCCCACCCAGGAGAGGGAGGCGACCCCCGUACUACUAUCAACAAGUCACGCCGGGAGAUGACUACGAGGAAGAUGGUCUGGUGCCUCAGUUGGACAGUGAGGAGGAGCUGGAAAACUUUAUUGAGAGGAUCUACAUGAAACGUAGAAUGUAUUGAGAGACUUUUUGGACAUUCGUCGGAUCAGACGGGCUGGCCAGAGGUGGGAUAGAUAUUCAGUAGCUGGAGAAAAGCUAAAAGAGAAUGUGGGUCGGGGGUAAGAUUCAGGGGGCGACGGGUUUUGAGCCUGAAUGAAAUUGAAGGGUCUUGGUGUGAAAUGUUUGAUUUAUGUUGUUUUACUCAUUUUAUUUUUACUUUCUCGGUCAGGGGGAGGAUGAACGGUCCCAGUUGAAUCUCCCUGUAACCACAUUAGCCUCUUGCUCAGUUUACAUUUUGAAACAGAACAUACCAUGGUGUAUGUCCGCCUCCAUUCAGGUCAAUCUCUGAAUCUCUUACAUUGUUCAGAGGGAACACACACACACACACACACACCAACUUAUAAGCACAUUUUUGACACUUUCACAAGCAAAUGGGCCCAUUUUCAAAGAACCAUGUUUACAAUAUCACUUGUUUUAUAUUCUGUAUGUCUUAUUACAAAACUAAAGUAAUUCUCAAAUAUAAAAAUAACAACACUGCCAUUGUCAAUUCUUCAAUGAAAGUAUUUUUUUUGUUGUUAUUUGAUGUUUGUAGUUUCCUGUCCUAUUGUCGAUUGGAUCAACUUGUAACAAUUUGCAAACGUGCCAAACAACCACAUAUAGACAUUUCAGUUUUUCAAAAAAUUCAGAUUUUUUUCCUUUCAAGCUCAUGGUUUUAAAAGGGUUUUCCCUCUGCAUAAUAUUAUCAUCACAACCGAUCCUAAAAGAGAAACCCUGUGGAAUCCAAAAGCACAAACUGAAAACACUAAACACUUCCAACCUGGUGGUCAAAGAAUGUUUAUCAUUCUCUCGAUAUUUGUGGAUCCACCAGUUCACCUUUGACUUCUGGGACUCCUUGAACUUUUAGGAGUCAUUUUUAUCUUCCUCACCUUCCCCAAUUGUUCAUCUCCAAUUACUGAUAAAGUGACAUCCUCACUCACUUUUUUUAGGGUUUUUUCACAUAUUGUUCUUUUUGCCAUAUUUCUUGAAUCCUGUAUUUAUUUUGUUUUUUUUCCUUUGCUUCCCAGCAAAAAAAGGAUACUUGAAAUCACAAUCUAUUUAGCGGCUUUUUAAACCGAAAGCCGACAAGAGGCUACACACGUUUUUUUUCUCAGAAGAAUUUCAUUGAAAAGUUUCAGGCCCGGGGAGUCAGGGAUUGUGCUUAAAACCGUUAAAUGCACGUCUUUCUACUUGCAUCUUAAAAAAUGAACAAAAAAAAAUAAACAAAAAAAGAGAAAAAAUAAAACAGUAAAGGAAAAAUCCAGAUGGUUGUUUUCUCUGAAUAAACUGUGAACAUUAAAAAAAAGAAAUCUCAAAAGGAGGAAGGCCACUGUGUCCACAGUGAAGCCAUCUGUCUUGUAAAAGGAGAGUGUUGUUGUUGAUGUCACCUUUAGCAUUGUAACAUGUACAGUGUGAAAUAAAUAUGCCCGUGCAAUGUGUAAAUAACAGCAUGAUGAUUACUAGUUUUGCUAUAUGAAAAAAAAUAAAGGUAAUUAUUUUAUUAAAGUUCAGUUUUUUAAUGGCUUUUUGGCGAGUGCUAUGUUGUACUUGUAUACAAGCAAAUAUAAGAACACUUCAGUAGCAAAUCCCAAAACACAGAAGAGGAAGAGAAUCGCUUGAAGCUUAUUGACAGCGUCGCUCAUAGAAGUUAAGAAAAUUAAGAAAACCUAGAGGGUGUUGAAUAAAUUCCAAGACAGUCAAAAAUGAGAAUGGAGGGGAAAAAAAGAAUGGAAAUAAAAAAGGGGGAGGAAUAACCAAAGAAUGGAAAAAUUUAGAAGGGAGGGAGGGAAAUGGUAACUGCAGUGAUUGAUGAGUCACGUGAUUGGUGGAUGAGUCAUCCAUCUCCACACUUUACUGCGCAGGGCCGUGUGCGCGCACACACGUGCACGCGCAGACGCGCGCACGCACACCCUCUUUUUUUGAGCUGUAUAGUAAUUUAGCUUCUGGCAUUCAAGAUAAAGAUUGAGUCGUGUUCACCCUGCCUCCAGCCGGCCGAUCAGCCAAUGGAAAGGUGUUUGAUAGAUAGGUUUGAAAAAAGAAAUAAAAAAUGUUAGACCAUAUCUUGUUUCCACACCUCCUCUUCACUCUCACAUCACUAAGGCAAUAUGCCCUUGUGCUAUAAUUCCUUAAGUGCUUUUGGCUUCAGCCCUUUCGGCAUCAAAACAAACCUGACAUAUGCAGUCAGCACACAAACACAGUGAUUAGCAGGCUGUCAACACGGUCAAAUCGCAC
This is a long non-coding RNA of Gasterosteus aculeatus aculeatus (three-spined stickleback), 4744 nucleotides long. Lineage: Eukaryota; Metazoa; Chordata; Actinopteri; Perciformes; Gasterosteidae. The record is from Ensembl.